RNAcentral lists this ribosomal RNA (367 nucleotides) under uncultured bacterium. RNAcentral's name for it is "bacterial SSU rRNA". It matches the Rfam family "Bacterial small subunit ribosomal RNA", at positions 144 to 507 of the family's 1533-position model. The record is from RNAcentral.
UAACGUAGCGAAAGUUACGCUAAUACCGCAUAUUCUGUGAGCAGGAAAGCAGGGGAUCGCAAGACCUUGCGCUCUGGGAGCGGCCGAUGUCGGAUUAGCUAGUUGGUGGGUAAAGGCCUACCAAGGCGACGAUCCGUAGCGGGUCUGAGAGGAUGAUCCGCCACACUGGGACUGAGACACGGCCCAGACUCCUACGGGAGGCAGCAGGUGGGGAAUUUUGGACAAUGGGCGGAAGCCUGAUCCAGCCAUGCCGCGUGAGUGAAGAAGGCCUUCGGGUUGUAAAGCUCUUUCGGCGGGAAGAAAUUGCACGGGUUAAUACCCUGUGUAGAUGACGGUACCCGAAUAAGAAGCACCGGCUAACUACGUG